This 370-nucleotide ribosomal RNA is filed under the name uncultured bacterium. RNAcentral's name for it is "bacterial SSU rRNA". It matches the Rfam family "Bacterial small subunit ribosomal RNA", at positions 525 to 896 of the family's 1533-position model. The record is from RNAcentral.
ACGGAGGGUGCAAGCGUUAUCCGGAAUCACUGGGUUUAAAGGGUGCGUAGGCGGUUCGUUAAGUCAGUUGUGAAAUUCCCCCGCUUAACGGGAGGGACUGCGAUUGAUACUGAUGAACUUGAAUCAGGUUGAGGUGGGCGGAAUGUGACAUGUAGCGGUGAAAUGCAUAGAUAUGUCAUAGAACACCGAUUGCGAAGGCAGCUUGCUGGACCUGUAUUGACGCUGAGGCACGAAAGCGUGGGGAGCAAACAGGAUUAGAUACCCUGGUAGUCCACGCCCUAAACGAUGUUUACUUGCUGUUCGGCCUUCGGGCGGAGUGGCGAAGCGAAAGCGAUAAGUAAACCACCUGGGGAGUACGCCGGCAACGGUG